UUUCAUAUAUUGAAAAAUGUGACAAUAUAUUUGUUUAUGUAUUGUAAUGUAAUGUAUGUAUUCAAUAAUAUUCUUCAUAAUACAUAGAUAAACAUAUGAUAAACUGUUUGUAUACGUACACACAUAUAUAUACUGGAACAGGUACGUGCACUAGAAAAGUACACAAUUAUGAGGAAAAUAUAAAUUUGUAUUGAUAUAGUGUAUAAAGCACUCAAUAAAGUGAUAAAAUCAUGGUGCUUAGAAAAAAACUUUGUGUUCAGGACACACUUUUCUAUUACAGGUCACAUAUUUUUAUUCAUGAAAUGUGUAGAUAUGCAAAAAAUACAGUUAUAGAAAAGUUUAUGAAUAUGUGUUCAGCUGUAACUUUUGAAAGAGAAAAUGCGUGUUUCAAUAAAACGAUUACAUGUAAAAUUAUACUGCAGUAUUUUUUAAAUGCAUCAAAACACAUCCAUACGUGAUCUAUGACUAUACUGCAGUAUAUUGAAAAAUAUAAGCGCUGCUUUCCCAUAUAUAGAAAUGUAUUGUUUAAUAAACUGCAUUAUAUUUUCCAAAACAUUCCCAUAUAUUUUUCUUUCAUAUGGGCACACUGUCCACUUUUUAAUACUUAUUUGGAUUCAGUGUAUUGUGGAGGAGGGUCUGCAGGAUGAUGAAAGGAAGAACUGCUGGCCACAGGGAUCUGCAAGAAAACAAAGAGAGAUAUGAUCAGUUUAUUGAUUGCUUUUUAUUGAUAAUAUUACCUAACAAUUAUUGCACCCAUUACUGAACGCCUUACUUAUUUCCAGUGCAUGGAUACUCAACCCUAAAUUCAAAUAAUACAUUUUUCUUUACUAAUUUUACUCAAACUGCAACUGAACUGAGGUUACAAGUUUCUCUUACCUCUGAGCUGUUGAGAUCGUGGAAAUGAUUGGGCCUGAAAUCACAGGGCUGUGGUGGCAGAACUUGAGCAAACUGCACCUUUGGGGGAAAAAAUGCAUGCUUUAUGUCUUCUUACCAGAUGCCAGAAAUACAUCAGUAUUACAGGUUUAUAAACCUUAUUGAACUUCAAAUGGAAUAAGAAAAAGCAAAAGACAGAAAUGUUUCUGACAUGUGUUUUGGAAUCAGGAAUGCGUAAGAAAACAGUUCUGCAAGAAAGUGUUUUAACUUCAAAAACCUGACUAAUGUCUUGAAAUAAAAUAUGAUUAAGUAGGGAAUGUUUGACUCUUCUGCUUUAAAACUACAAUGUACUGAACCUUUUCAGUCAAAAUGUUGUACAUGAAACAAAUUUUAUUUUAAACAUGGUCGUUAGGGCUCUCGUGUGGGAGAUAGGCGCACAGAGAUGAUUCAAAUAGCGUUAAAUAAUAGUUCAAGGAGAAAAGAGAGAUCCAAGAACACACAGGGAAACACAAGCAGCACUAACUGGCCAGGAAGAACUGAAAGAGAGCAACUUAAAUACACAGACCAAAUGAGGAUAAUUAUCAAACACAGGUGAACAGAAUGAACUAAUCAAGGGAACUAAGGAAAAGUAGGUCAAGAAACAAAACAGGAGAACAAAUAGUGUGACAGUGGUUUACUUUCCAAUCAAUAGCCUACAUUUACGACCACAUAGUAAAAUAAGGAAUUUAAUUAAAAUGCUGCUUCUAGCCCCUCGAGGUAUCAUGGGCUUCAUGGGACGAAACAUCAAGGAAUGGCAUGUUUGAUAACCCGCAAAAUAGGGUCACGAUUUCUCGAUUCAAAUCAAGAACUCAAUUAAAAAAAAUCCUCGAUUACAUUUUACCCGUGUCGAAUAAUAAUGAACAUAGCACAAUGCUAUUGUGAAUUCAUAAAUGCUACGAUUUAAUUAAAUAUAUGCGAUGCAGGUUUAAUAUAUGCGCUUUAAUUAUUUACAUGCAUGUAGGUUAGUAACAUGCAUCUCAGAGCAGCUCCAUUCACAGUAAAUGCUGCUCCACACAAACUGUUAUCAUUCACAUUUGUGGAGCGUCUCACACUCCAUCUCUGCAUAUUGUUAUGAGUUUGGGUUUAUUACAACAUUCAUCUGGGAACGCAACGUGCGCCAUUUCAUCAGAUUUGUAAGGUAAAUCAUUUCUAAACCUACACAAAUACAGGACAAAACAUCAGUAUCCUUCUUAAUAUGCGAACUGUUCAUCCGAUUUCAAAAUAAAAGUUUAAACCCUUUCUGUCGUAAAGAAAUGGCCAAAUAUUACAGAUUAAGUGGAUAUUGGAAGUAAAUGUUGUUUAGUCAAUAAUAAACAAGGAUUAGAUUGUGCAGUAAAAUGUAAAAACAAUCGUCAGGCCGUCUGCGCCUCUGCAGUCAUUCGUUAUAAUGCGUAACAUUAGUUCUAUUGUUUAUAAUACAUUACUUUUACCAGUUUUGUAAAAAAAAAAAAAAGAAAACAUUUAGAUUACUUGCUUUUGAUACUUUAUUUGAACUAAUUAUUAUUUUUCAUUGCUAUUAUAUAUGUAUUUUAAGUAAUUUUAUUAAUAAUUAACAUUAGUAAUAUUAAUUGUUCGCUUAGGUUGAUUUUUAUUACAGCAAAAAAUAUCUGUAUUGUAACGUAGUUGUACAAAGUAUUCCCCCCGAAACAUGGACUUUCCCGCACACAUAAUUUGGACUGAAAUGGAUUGUCAAAGUUCGCACUCCAUGUAACGGCACUCAGGUUUCCAGGUAACGGAGCGGGAAAGUGAGUGGUAGAACAGAGAGAGUUUGGAUGUGCAUUAUAUAGUUUAGAGAGGAAAUGAGUGGAUUAUAUCUUCUAAGUGUACAUUGUGUAUAUGUGUGCGUGCAUCACAAUCAAUGUAAUUACCCGAAUGUGUUUACAUGUAACUGUAACUGAUUGUUUACAUGUAACUGUUGUGUUCGUGUCACAGUGUCUGGUUUGUGUUCCCUGGGUGUCCACUUGAGGUCUCACUUCCCCUGUCUCCUCAUUGCACUCAGCUGUCCCUGGUCAUUAAUCAUUGCACUUAGCCAAUUCCCCGUUAGUAUUGUCAUUUGCCUGUGUAUAAAUACCCCGGUUGUUCUGUCAUUGUUACGGAGUCCUUGUUUAAUGUCACCCUGGGGUGUAUUCCAGAAAGCAGGGUUAACUUACCGUGAACUAAACCCUGAACUCUCGGUUGAUAACCCCAAACCUUGCUUACUCGAGGUAUGUGGUUCCAAAAACACGUCCGGGAGUAAGUUCAUUCAACUCAGAAUAUGUUCCUGGUUAAGACUCAAGACAUUCUCAACAGAGCGAUGAAUCGACGAGUCACUAUGGAAACGGACGCUAAGAAAAAGCGCGCCAAGCUGUUUCUUUCUUCUUCUUUUGUUCAUUAGUUGUUUACAUGCUUAGUGCAUAUCGACACCUAAUUGAUGACCGUGAUAUUUUUUUUCAUGUAAUCUUUAAUCCUUGAGAAUGUGAAUUAUAUUUUUGGUUUUAUGCUAAUUAUAUAUUAAGUCAUAUCAGAUAUGUAUUUUGAUUUAGAAUUUAGACAUUAUAGAAAAUCCAUGUGUGAGAUAAUAUAACAUGUUAUAAAUAAAAUAAAUAAAUAUUUAUAAGUUAAACAUUACCUUGUCAUAGUGUUUUAUAAUUUAUACAGAUAACUCUUAUAUAUGGCAAUAAAAAAAAAUCAUAUUAGAAUAAUGUUACCUUAUUUAUUACUUAUAUUAGUGCUUCCUCAUUAACAUAUCAAAUAUAUAUAUAUAUAUAUAUAUAUAUAUAUACAGUACAGACCAAAAGUUUGGAAACAUUACUAUUUUUAAUGUUUUUGAAAGAAGUUUCUUCUGCUCAUCAAGCCUGCAUUUAUUUGAUCAAAAACACAGAAAAAAAUUUAAUAUUGUGAUAUAUUAUUACAAUUUAAAAUAAUUGUUUUUAAAUUUAUUAUACUUUAAAUUAUCAUUUAUUUCUGUGAUGCAAAGCUGAAUUUUUAGGAUCAUUAUCACAUGAUCCUUUAGAAAUCAUUCUAAUAUGAUGAUUCUUUAUCAAAGUUGGAAACAGUUCUGCUGCUUAAUAUUUUUUCAGAACAUGUGAUACUUUUUUAGGAUACUUUGAUGAAUAAAAAGUAGUUUUUUUAAAAUAUAAAUAUUUUUGUAAUAACAAUAUACACUACUGGUCAGUAAUUUGGGGUCAGUAUUUUUUUUUUCUUUCUUUUUUUAAAUAAAAUCAAUACUUUUAUUCAGCAAGGAUGUGUUAAAUUGAUAAAAAGUGAUAGUAAAGAAAAUAUAUUAUUAGAAUAUAUAUUAUUAGAAUAAUAAAUGCAGUUCUUUUUAACCUUUUAUUCAUCAAAUAUAUUAGUCAGCAGAACUGUUUCCAACACUCAUAAUAAAUCAGAAUAUUAGAAUGAUUUCUAAAUGAUCAUGUGAUAGACUGGAUGUUACAUGUGACACUGAAGGCUGGAGUAAUGAUGCUGAAAAUUCAGCUUUGCAUCACAGGAAUUAUUUUUUAGAAGUAUAUUCAAAUAGAAAACUAUUAUUUUAAGUUGUAAUAAUAUUUCACAAUAUUACUGUUUUUUCUGUAUUUUUCAAAUAAAUGCAGGCUUGAUGAGCAGAAGAAACUUCUUUCAAAAACAUUAAAAAUAGUAAUGUUUCCAAACUUUUGGUCUGUACUGUAUAUAUAUAUGUAUAAUAAGCUAUAUUAGAUAUUGUAAUAUUAUAUAAUGCUGUGCGCUAUCUGUCACGCCCACUGAAGGCUCGCUGAAGUGAACUAACCCUGGAACAUAACCUGCUCCGGAGCAGGUUAAGUUCAGAGAGUGAGUUGCUAUGACUACUAACAUACCCUGAAAGUUACCUCCAUUUUUGGAACCGAAAGUUGAGGUUAUCCACUUACUUACUCUUAAACAUACC
This is a long non-coding RNA of Cyprinus carpio carpio, 4792 nucleotides long. The record is from Ensembl. Lineage: Eukaryota; Metazoa; Chordata; Actinopteri; Cypriniformes; Cyprinidae.